RNAcentral lists this ribosomal RNA (253 nucleotides) under uncultured bacterium. Its description in RNAcentral is "partial 16S ribosomal RNA". It matches the Rfam family "Bacterial small subunit ribosomal RNA", at positions 524 to 776 of the family's 1533-position model. The record is from RNAcentral.
UACGUAGGGUGCAGGCGUUAAUCGGAAUUACUGGGCGUAAAGCGUGCGCAGGCGGUUUGCUAAGACAGGUGUGAAAUCCCCGGGCUCAACCUGGGAAUUGCGAUGGAGACUGCACGGCUAGAGUGUGUCAGAGGGGGGUAGAAUUCCACGUGUAGCAGUGAAAUGCGUAGAUAUGUGGAGGAACACCGAUGGCGAAGGCAGCCCCCUGGGAUAACACUGACGCUCAUGCACGAAAGCGUGGGGAGCAAACAGG